UACGGGGGGGGCAAGCGUUGUUCGGAAUUACUGGGCGUAAAGGGCUCGUAGGCGGCCAACUAAGUCGGACGUGAAAUCCCUCGGCUUAACCGGGGAACUGCUUCCGAUACUGGAUGGCUUGAGUGUGGGAGAGGGAUGCGGAAUUCCAGGUGUAGCGGUGAAAUGCGUAGAUAUCUGGAGGGACACCGGUGGCGAAGGCGGCAUCCUGGACUACUACUGACGCUGAGGAGCGAAAGCCAGGGGAGCAAACGGG
This 253-nucleotide ribosomal RNA is filed under the name uncultured bacterium. Its description in RNAcentral is "partial 16S ribosomal RNA". It matches the Rfam family "Bacterial small subunit ribosomal RNA", at positions 524 to 776 of the family's 1533-position model. The record is from RNAcentral.